UAUAACGGUGGUAGCCGCCCUAACUCAAAUACUAUUUUAAAGAAGAAAAAAAACCUUCGGGCGCCAGACAGGAUUAAACCUAUCAAAAAUUAACUUAACCCAGGAUAGCAGGAAAAUAACCACCUGUUACACAACAAAUUAUAAUAAUAAUCCCAGACUAAAGGUCAUCAGGAUAUUUAUUCUUCCAUAUGUUCAAAAUCAUAAUAACACAGAAAACCGAAAUGGACAACAAAAUAAAAAACAAAAAAAAACAAAAUAAGCAAUGACCACACGUUCCCACUAGCGGUCUCUGGUCUUCGAAAUCUGUGCCCGUGCCAGAAACCGACCGCGUCACGCUAAUCCACGUUCGCAGAUUCGUGUCCACAUUCAUUCACAAAAUGUCCAUAAAAAAUAAAGGAAAAGAGAAAACAAAGAAAACAUUGGAUGAACAUCUCAUUAAGUUAAAUCAAAAGCAUCAAUAAUUUUAACGGGCAACAACAAUUGUAAACAAAACACUAAGCACACAGAAUGUGCGAAUAUGAAAGCUAUGCGAGUGGGUGCGUGCGUGUGUUGCAGUGUGUGUAAUGGCGAGAAAACAAAGAAAACAUUGGAUGAACAUCUCAUUAAGUUAAAUCAAAAGCAUCAAUAAUUUUAACGGGCAACAACAAUUGUAAACAAAACACUAAGCACACAGAAUGUGCGAAUAUGAAAGCUAUGCGAGUGGGUGCGUGCGUGUGUUGCAGUGUGUGUAAUGGCGGCGCAAAGGUACUGACCCCGUUUGCAGGUAUUGAAGGCACCAAUGAGUAUCGCGGGUCACCAGACACCAAGAUAGGUGGAUAAGCGGUUUUUGCCUUGUCUUCAGGACUGCUCAUGACAGUUGGUCUGGAAGGGCAAUGCUUCAGUCACGCACCAGACAUCAUCGCCAUGGAACAGCGGAUUGACACGCAGCCGUCUUUCCACCGUAAACCAUCUCUCAUACGGGCAACCCUCAUGUGCAAACAAACGAAUGACGCCUCUCUUUCAGGUACGACACGCUCCCUUUAAAUACAACUCCCUUCCGCCGUUAAUUGACACACUCCACCCAAAAUCACGCUAAAAUGAAAGUGAAAGUAGAACAGAUUCUUUUGUUUGCCACAACACAUAUCAUGUAGUUUUCAAAUAAGCCUAAAUGAUUAGAUUAGCUUGAUCAGGUGUGUUUAAUUAGGGUUAUAUCUAAACUGUGCAGGACUGUGGCCCUCCAGGAACUGAGUUUGACACCCUUGGCCUGUUUCAUUUUUG
This is a long non-coding RNA of Cyprinus carpio carpio, 1257 nucleotides long. The record is from Ensembl. Lineage: Eukaryota; Metazoa; Chordata; Actinopteri; Cypriniformes; Cyprinidae.